RNAcentral lists this unclassified non-coding RNA (92 nucleotides) under plant metagenome. RNAcentral's name for it is "partial contains 5.8S ribosomal RNA, internal transcribed spacer 2, and large subunit ribosomal RNA". The record is from RNAcentral.
GAACACGCUCUAUCUUUGGCGAACCGGCGCCUGAGGCUCGUUGCGGUACUGUUCCUAGACCUGGACAACUUCAAAGUCGUCAACGAUUCCUU